Molecule: unclassified non-coding RNA, 262 nt
Filed under: uncultured Ascomycota
Lineage: Eukaryota; Fungi; Ascomycota
Description: sequence contains ITS1
Rfam family: 5.8S ribosomal RNA (bases 1-94)
Source: RNAcentral
AAAGUGCGAAACGUGAUGCGAUCCGCACCGCCUGUGAGUCAUCGAGUCUUUGAACGCACAUGGCACCCGCGAGGGUAUACCUGUUUGAGGGUUGGAUCGACGUGAUAGAUGUGGCUGCGUCUCGCAGAGUCGAGUCAGCUGAAGUCGAUGGCUCGUGGUGGACCCGUGUGACACGGACUCUGGUCCAGAGCACGGAAAUCCCAGCACCCAGGCCAAAUCUCUUAUCAACCUCAAAUCAGGCAAGGCUACCCGCUGAACUUAA